This 804-nucleotide ribosomal RNA is filed under the name Elphidium macellum. RNAcentral describes it as "SSU rRNA". It matches the Rfam family "Eukaryotic small subunit ribosomal RNA", at positions 1178 to 1801 of the family's 1831-position model. The record is from RNAcentral. Lineage: Eukaryota; Foraminifera; Rotaliida; Elphidiidae.
GGAGCAUGUGGCUUAAUUUGACUCAACGCGGAUUUCUUACCGGGUCCGGACACACUGAGGAUUGACAGACAUUUAUAUGCGCAAGUAUAUAUUUAAAGAUGCUAGUUCUUUCAUGAUUAUGUGAUAGGUGGUGCAUGGCCGUUCUUAGUUCGUGGAGUGAUCUGUCUGCUUAAUUGCGUUUCAUAUUAUUAUUAAUAUUCCAUAUAUUUAUUAUAUGCGUCUAUUAUACUUUGAAAGCAACGAACGUGACCGUAGCCUUUUAUUAUAUACGCUACACGUAUAUUAAUUAAAGGGACCGCUGUAUCUUUCUUUAAACCAGAGUAAGGUUACGGCAAUAACAGGUCUGUGAUGCCCUUCGAUGUUCCGGGCUGCACACGUGCUACAAUGAUUAUUUCAUUAAGUAUCUACUGUGCAAUAAUAUAUUAUUAUUAUUCCAAAACCUACUCUGAGAAUGAGCGGGUAAUCAAUUAGAAGUAAUGAUUUCCAAAUUUAUACACUCAUGUACCGUAUAUAUUAUCCCAUAUUUUAAUUAAUAUGCGUGUAUAAUAUCGUACGCUGUACGUAUAUUUAUUAAUUCAUGGUGGGGAUAGACUAUUGUUAAUUGUUGGUCUCGGUCUUAACUAGGAAUGCCUUGUACGGGUCAUUGGUUCAACAGACCACCCGGAAUACGUCCCUGCCCUUUGUACACACCGCCCGUCGCUCUUACCGAUGAACUUCGCUAUGAAUCUAUUGGACUGUACCAUUGUGGUAUGGAAAGAUAUAUGAAUAGUGUGGUUUAAAGGAAAGAGAAGUCGUAACAAGGCA